CACGCCGUAAACGUUGGGAACUAGAUGUAGGGACCAUUCCACGGUUUCUGUGUCGCAGCUAACGCAUUAAGUUCCCCGCCUGGGGNGCAACGCGAAGAACCUUACCAAGGCUUGACAUUUACGAGAACGCUGCAGAAAUGUAGAACUCUUUGGACACUCGUAAACAGGUGG
This 171-nucleotide ribosomal RNA is filed under the name uncultured bacterium. RNAcentral describes it as "partial 16S ribosomal RNA". The record is from RNAcentral.